RNAcentral lists this small nuclear RNA (179 nucleotides) under Cervus hanglu yarkandensis (Yarkand deer). RNAcentral describes it as "U2 spliceosomal RNA (ENSCHYG00000009847.1)". It matches the Rfam family "U2 spliceosomal RNA". From Rfam's summary of the family: U2 is a small nuclear RNA (snRNA) component of the spliceosome (involved in pre-mRNA splicing). Complementary binding between U2 snRNA (in an area lying towards the 5' end but 3' to hairpin I) and the branchpoint sequence (BPS) of the intron results the bulging out of an unpaired adenosine, on the BPS, which initiates a nucleophilic attack at the intronic 5' splice site, thus starting the first of two transesterification reactions that mediate splicing. Lineage: Eukaryota; Metazoa; Chordata; Mammalia; Artiodactyla; Cervidae. The record is from Rfam by way of RNAcentral.
UCACCUUCUCAGGAGUGGUCAGAGAACAACCCCCGCAAGCAAUCAGUCAUUGUCUGAAUAUGAAGCAAAAAAUAUAAACUCAAUGGAUUUUUGGAGCUGGGAGUUGGAAUAGGAGCUUGCUCCGUCCACUCCACGCAUCGACCUGGUAUUGCAGUACUUCCAGGAACGGUGCACCCCCU